GACGAACGCUGGCGGCGUGCCUAAUACAUGCAAGUAGAACGCUGAAGGAGGAGCUUGCUUCUCUGGAUGAGUUGCGAACGGGUGAGUAACGCGUAGGUAACCUGCCUGGUAGCGGGGGAUAACUAUUGGAAACGAUAGCUAAUACCGCAUAAGAGUAGAUGUCGCAUGACAUUUGCUUAAAAGGUGCAAUUGCAUCACUACCAGAUGGACCUGCGUUGUAUUAGCUAGUUGGUGAGGUAACGGCUCACCAAGGCAACGAUACAUAGCCGACCUGAGAGGGGGAUCGGCCACACUGGGACUGAGACACGGCCCAGACUCCUACGGGAGGCAGCAGGAGGGAAUCGUCGGCAAUGGACGGAAGUCUGACCGAGCAACGCCGCGUGAGUGAAGAAGGUUUUCGGAUCGUAAAGCUCUGUUGUAAGAGAAGAACGAGUGUGAGAGUGGAAAGUUCACACUGUGACGGUAUCUUACCAGAAAGGGACGGCUAACUACGUG
This 495-nucleotide ribosomal RNA is filed under the name uncultured bacterium. Its description in RNAcentral is "partial 16S ribosomal RNA". It matches the Rfam family "Bacterial small subunit ribosomal RNA", at positions 28 to 507 of the family's 1533-position model. The record is from RNAcentral.